RNAcentral lists this ribosomal RNA (926 nucleotides) under Staphylococcus sp. RNAcentral's name for it is "bacterial SSU rRNA". It matches the Rfam family "Bacterial small subunit ribosomal RNA", at positions 56 to 964 of the family's 1533-position model. The record is from RNAcentral. Lineage: Bacteria; Bacillati; Bacillota; Bacilli; Caryophanales; Staphylococcaceae.
UGCAGUCGAGCGAACGGACGAGAAGCUUGCUUCUCUGAUGUUAGCGGCGGACGGGUGAGUAACACGUGGAUAACCUACCUAUAAGACUGGGAUAACUUCGGGAAACCGGAGCUAAUACCGGAUAAUAUUUUGAACCGCAUGGUUCAAAAGUGAAAGACGGUCUUGCUGUCACUUAUAGAUGGAUCCGCGCUGCAUUAGCUAGUUGGUAAGGUAACGGCUUACCAAGGCAACGAUGCAUAGCCGACCUGAGAGGGUGAUCGGCCACACUGGAACUGAGACACGGUCCAGACUCCUACGGGAGGCAGCAGUAGGGAAUCUUCCGCAAUGGGCGAAAGCCUGACGGAGCAACGCCGCGUGAGUGAUGAAGGUCUUCGGAUCGUAAAACUCUGUUAUUAGGGAAGAACAUAUGUGUAAGUAACUGUGCACAUCUUGACGGUACCUAAUCAGAAAGCCACGGCUAACUACGUGCCAGCAGCCGCGGUAAUACGUAGGUGGCAAGCGUUAUCCGGAAUUAUUGGGCGUAAAGCGCGCGUAGGCGGUUUUUUAAGUCUGAUGUGAAAGCCCACGGCUCAACCGUGGAGGGUCAUUGGAAACUGGAAAACUUGAGUGCAGAAGAGGAAAGUGGAAUUCCAUGUGUAGCGGUGAAAUGCGCAGAGAUAUGGAGGAACACCAGUGGCGAAGGCGACUUUCUGGUCUGUAACUGACGCUGAUGUGCGAAAGCGUGGGGAUCAAACAGGAUUAGAUACCCUGGUAGUCCACGCCGUAAACGAUGAGUGCUAAGUGUUANGGGGUUUCCGCCCCUUAGUGCUGCAGCUAACGCAUUAAGCACUCCGCCUGGGGAGUACGACCGCAAGGUUGAAACUCAAAGGAAUUGACGGGGACCNGCACAAGCGGUGGAGCAUGUGGUUUAAUUCGAAGCAACGCGA